UACGUAGGUGGCAAGCGUUGUCCGGAAUUAUUGGGCGUAAAGCGCGCGCAGGUGGUUUCUUAAGUCUGAUGUGAAAGCCCACGGCUCAACCGUGGAGGGUCAUUGGAAACUGGGGAACUUGAGUGCAGGAGAGAAGAGUGGAAUUCCACGUGUAGCGGUGAAAUGCGUAGAGAUGUGGAGGAACACCAGUGGCGAAGGCGGCUAUCUGGACGGUUACUGACGCUAAGACUCGAAAGCGUGGGGAGCAAACAGG
Molecule: ribosomal RNA, 253 nt
Filed under: uncultured bacterium
Lineage: Bacteria
Description: partial 16S ribosomal RNA
Rfam family: Bacterial small subunit ribosomal RNA
Source: RNAcentral